This 730-nucleotide ribosomal RNA is filed under the name uncultured bacterium. RNAcentral describes it as "bacterial SSU rRNA". It matches the Rfam family "Bacterial small subunit ribosomal RNA", at positions 771 to 1501 of the family's 1533-position model. The record is from RNAcentral.
AACAGGAUUAGAUACCCUGGUAGUCCACGCCGUAAACGAUGUCGACUUGGAGGUUGUGCCCUUGAGGCGUGGCUUCCGGAGCUAACGCGUUAAGUCGACCGCCUGGGGAGUACGGCCGCAAGGUUAAAACUCAAAUGAAUUGACGGGGGCCCGCACAAGCGGUGGAGCAUGUGGUUUAAUUCGAUGCAACGCGAAGAACCUUACCUACUCUUGACAUCCAGAGAACUUUCCAGAGAUGGAUUGGUGCCUUCGGGAACUCUGAGACAGGUGCUGCAUGGCUGUCGUCGGCUCGUGUUGUGAAAUGUUGGGUUAAGUCCCGCAACGAGCGCAACCCUUAUCCUUUGUUGCCAGCGGUUAGGCCGGGAACUCAAAGGAGACUGCCAGUGAUAAACUGGAGGAAGGUGGGGAUGACGUCAAGUCAUCAUGGCCCUUACGAGUAGGGCCACACACGUGCUACAAUGGCGCAUACAAAGAGAAGCGACCUCGCGAGAGCAAGCGGACCUCAUAAAGUGCGUCGUAGUCCGGAUUGGAGUCUGCAACUCGACUCCAUGAAGUCGGAAUCGCUAGUAAUCGUGGAUCAGAAUGCCACGGUGAAUACGUUCCCGGGCCUUGUACACACCGCCCGUCACACCAUGGGAGUGGGUUGCAAAAGAAGUAGGUAGCUUAACCUUCGGGAGGGCGCUUACCACUUUGUGAUUCAUGACUGGGGUGAAGUCGUAACAAGGUAACC